Molecule: small RNA, 499 nt
Filed under: Vigna angularis var. angularis
Lineage: Eukaryota; Viridiplantae; Streptophyta; Magnoliopsida; Fabales; Fabaceae
Description: Non-protein coding transcript
Source: RNAcentral
AUUCCAUCAAGCUCAUUUGGGUCUCCAAAUUUUUGUUUCAGUUCCGAAUGCUCUUAAAUUCUGUUGUUUUCUUGUGUUCAAAGAGAAAACAUGGCUGAAAGCAGGUGGCUGCUUAAAAAUCUCAUUGUUGAUCCACACGGUGUCGAAAAAUUUGGCUCUUUUCUUGUCUCUCUAUUCUUGAGUUGAAGAUGGAGUGUUGGAGAAAGAGGGAUAAUCCAAAAUCAAACUCCACUUUUCCUUAUGAGGUAUUGGAAAGAAUUAUAGGGAUGUUAAAAUCUCAAAAGGACAAAAGCUCGGUUUCUUUGGUUUGCAAAGAGUGGUAUAACGGCGAGAGUGGUAUAACGCAAAAAGGUUUAAUCAUUCACGUGCUUGACCUGCCCCUCCUUUAGUCAGCCACGUCAGUUAACAAACUGACUACAGCGUGCCACGUCAAACACACACUAACGCCGUUGCAGAAAAUUUAACGGAAAGGAUCCAAUUGUUGCAAUUUUCAUAAAUU